RNAcentral lists this ribosomal RNA (856 nucleotides) under uncultured bacterium. Its description in RNAcentral is "SSU rRNA". It matches the Rfam family "Bacterial small subunit ribosomal RNA", at positions 524 to 1381 of the family's 1533-position model. The record is from RNAcentral.
UACGAAGGGACCUAGCGUAGUUCGGAAUUACUGGGCUUAAAGAGUUCGUAGGUGGUUGAAAAAGUUAGUGGUGAAAUCCCAGAGCUUAACUCUGGAACUGCCAUUAAAACUUUUCAGCUAGAGUAUGAUAGAGGAAAGCAGAAUUUCUAGUGUGGAGGUGAAAUUCGUAGAUAUUAGAAAGAAUACCAAUUGCGAAGGCAGCUUUCUGGAUCAUUACUGACACUGAGGAACGAAAGCAUGGGUAGCGAAGAGGAUUAGAUACCCUCGUAGUCCAUGCCGUAAACGAUGUGUGUUAGACGUUGGAAAUUUAUUUUCAGUGUCGCAGCGAAAGCGAUAAACACACCGCCUGGGGAGUACGACCGCAAGGUUAAAACUCAAAUGAAUUGACGGGGACCCGCACAAGUAGUGGAGCAUGUGGUUUAAUUCGAAGAUACGCGCAGAACCUUACCAACACUUGACAUGUUCGUCGCGACUCUAAGAGAUUAGAGUUUUCGGUUCGGCCGGACGAAACACAGGUGCUGCAUGGCUGUCGUCAGCUCGUGUCGUGAGAUGUUGGGUUAAGUCCCGCAACGAGCGCAACCCUCACUUUUAGUUGCCAUCAUUAAGUUGGGCACUCUGAAAGAACUGCCAGUGAUAAGCUGGAGGAAGGUGGGGAUGACGUCAAGUCCUCAUGGCCCUUACGUGUUGGGCUACACACGUGCUACAAUGGUAUCUACAACAGGAAGCAAGACUGCGAGGUCAAGCAAAUCCUUAAAAGGUACCUCAGUUCGGAUUGCACUCUGCAACUCGAGUGCAUGAAGCUGGAAUUACUAGUAAUCGUGGAUCAGCGUGCCACGGUGAAUGCGUUCCCGGGUCU